AGUGAACGCUGGCGGUAGGCCUAACACAUGCAAGUCGAACGGCAGCACAGUAAGAGCUUGCUCUUACGGGUGGCGAGUGGCGGACGGGUGAGGAAUACAUCGGAAUCUACUUUUUCGUGGGGGAUAACGUAGGGAAACUUACGCUAAUACCGCAUACGACCUACGGGUGAAAGCAGGGGAUCUUCGGACCUUGCGCGAUUGAAUGAGCCGAUGUCGGAUUAGCUAGUUGGCGGGGUAAAGGCCCACCAAGGCGACGAUCCGUAGCUGGUCUGAGAGGAUGAUCAGCCACACUGGAACUGAGACACGGUCCAGACUCCCACGGGAGGCAGCAGUGGGGAAUAUUGGACAAUGGGCGCAAGCCUGAUCCAGCCAUACCGCGUGGGUGAAGAAGGCCUUCGGGUUGUAAAGCCCUUUUGUUGGGAAAGAAAAGCAGCAGGUUAAUACCCUGCUGUUCUGACGGUACCCAAAGAAUAAGCACCGGCUAACUUCGUG
Molecule: ribosomal RNA, 492 nt
Filed under: uncultured bacterium
Lineage: Bacteria
Description: partial 16S ribosomal RNA
Rfam family: Bacterial small subunit ribosomal RNA
Source: RNAcentral